RNAcentral lists this ribosomal RNA (792 nucleotides) under uncultured Gammaproteobacteria bacterium. RNAcentral's name for it is "bacterial SSU rRNA". It matches the Rfam family "Bacterial small subunit ribosomal RNA", at positions 71 to 858 of the family's 1533-position model. The record is from RNAcentral. Lineage: Bacteria; Pseudomonadati; Pseudomonadota; Gammaproteobacteria.
CAGGUGUAGCAAUACAUGCUGACGAGCGGCGGACGGGUGAGUAACGCUUGGGAAUCUGCCUGUUAGUGGGGGACAACCCGGGGAAACUCGGGCUAAUACCGCAUACGCACUACGGUGGAAAGCCGGGGACCGCAAGGCCUGGCGCUAACAGAUGAGCCCAAGUCGGAUUAGCUAGUUGGUAGGGUAACGGCCUACCAAGGCGACGAUCCGUAACUGGUCUGAGAGGACGACCAGUCACACCGGAACUGAGACACGGUCCGGACUCCUACGGGAGGCAGCAGUGGGGAAUAUUGGACAAUGGGGGCAACCCUGAUCCAGCGACGCCGCGUGGGUGAAGAAGGCCUGCGGGUUGUAAAGCCCUUUCGGUUGGGAAGAAAAGUUGCGGUUUAAUACAUCGCGACCUUGACGUAACCAACUAAAGAAGCACCGGCUAACUCUGUGCCAGCAGCCGCGGUAAUACAGAGGGUGCGAGCGUUAAUCGGAAUUACUGGGCGUAAAGCGCGCGUAGGCGGCUUUUCAAGUCGAUUGUGAAAUCCCCGGGCUUAACCUGGGAACUGCAGUCGAGACUGUCUAGCUAGAGUAUGGGAGAGGGAAGUGGAAUUUCAGGUGUAGCGGUGAAAUGCGUAGAUAUCUGAAGGAACAUCAGUGGCGAAAGCGACUUCCUGGACCAAUACUGACGCUCAUGUGCGAAAGCGUGGGGAGCAAACAGGAUUAGAUACCCUGGUAGUCCACGCCAUAAACGAUGAGAACUGGAUGUCGGAGGGGUCUGCCCUUCGGUGUCGUAGCUAACGC